AGCGAACGCUGGCGGCAUGCCUAACACAUGCAAGUCGCACGGUCGGGGGGUGACCUUCGGCAGUGGCGGACGGGUGAGUAACGCGUAGGGAUCUAUCCUUGGAUGGGGGACAACCGCGGGAAACCGCGGCUAAUACCGCAUGAUGCCUGAGGGCCAAAGCUCGCGAGAGCGUCUGGGGAGGAGCCUGCGUCCGAUUAGCUAGUUGGUGGGGUAACGGCCCACCAAGGCGUCGAUCGGUAGCUGGUCUGAGAGGAUGAUCAGCCACACUGGGACUGAGACACGGCCCAGACUCCUACGGGAGGCAGCAGUGGGGAAUAUUGGACAAUGGGCGCAAGCCUGAUCCAGCAAUGCCGCGUGGGUGAAGAAGGU
This 369-nucleotide ribosomal RNA is filed under the name uncultured bacterium. Its description in RNAcentral is "bacterial SSU rRNA". It matches the Rfam family "Bacterial small subunit ribosomal RNA", at positions 30 to 415 of the family's 1533-position model. The record is from RNAcentral.